RNAcentral lists this ribosomal RNA (253 nucleotides) under uncultured bacterium. RNAcentral's name for it is "partial 16S ribosomal RNA". It matches the Rfam family "Bacterial small subunit ribosomal RNA", at positions 524 to 776 of the family's 1533-position model. The record is from RNAcentral.
UACGGAGGAGGCGAACGUUGUUCGGAAUCACUGGGCUUAAAGCGCGUGCAGGCGGAGCGGUAGGCGUCCUGUGAAAGCCCCCGGCUCAACCGGGGAACUGCAGGGCGAACCAUCGCUCUUGAGGCAGGUAGAGGCGAGCGGAACUAUGGGUGGAGCGGUGAAAUGCGUAGAUAUCCAUGGGAACGCCGGUGGCGAAAGCGGUUCGCUGGGCCUGUGCUGACGCUGAGACGCGAAAGCGUAGGUAGCAAACAGG